UUCUCUCUAGUGUAGUGGUUUGAGCAUUGGACUAUGGGUUGGGUAGACCAGGGUUCGAAUCCCUGCUGAGCCA
Molecule: non-coding RNA, 73 nt
Organism: Phrynosoma platyrhinos (Desert horned lizard)
Lineage: Eukaryota; Metazoa; Chordata; Lepidosauria; Squamata; Phrynosomatidae
Source: the annotation of a GenBank genome assembly